Molecule: non-coding RNA, 3091 nt
Organism: Cyanistes caeruleus (blue tit)
Lineage: Eukaryota; Metazoa; Chordata; Aves; Passeriformes; Paridae
Source: RefSeq, a predicted model, not a curated record
GUUAGCAGAGAGGUGGUAGCAGCAGCAUAACUGCUAAACUGAAGGGAGAUUCAACAUGCAGCUCAAUGGAAUUUCUGUCUACUUCUACUGUGUCAUAUCUGGAAUUUUAUAUUUAAUCAAUUUCUUUGAAUCAGUGGGUUGAACAGGGAAAAUCAAAGUGGGUGGAACUCUGAUUAUCGCAUCCAGAACCUAAAAAUGCCUCUGCAUCAGCCUUUAGACUUUCACCUGUGCAUCUCUUUUCAGCAUUUAAAAUACGAAAAUCCCUGAAUGAAUGGUUUUCAAGACACUGGCUGGAAGGUAUUGGUGAACCUCAGGAAUAGCAGAAGUGGAAAAUGUUGUAAUCUGCCAAAGGUGCAACAUGAGUUUUUUUAUUUACAGUCUGUAUGUCCUCAUUGGCCUCCUGCUUCUCUCUCAAGUGGAAGUGGUGUAGAGUGGAGGGUCUAAGGUUUUGGCUCUGCCUAGUCAAGCAAGAUAGAGAAGAUAAUGAUGGGGAGAAAUCACUGAAGAUUAGAAAAAGAUGAACAAUUAAAAUAAAAUUUUGAAAAAAAUUACUGAUCAACUGGGAGGAAAGAACAACCAGAAAGAAAAGAGCAAGAAGAAGUAAGUAUCUGAGACUAGAAAUACAUUGAAAAGAGAAUGGAUGAGAGCUGAAAAUCCUCAGAAGAAAAGCCUUGACAUAUAAGAGAAGUCACCACUAAAAAGUGAAAAACAUGUUGUAUAGGCAAGAGUAAAACUGCCUAUAAUAAUAUAUUUGAAUUAGAUAAGAAUAUAUAGAGACAUAGAAAUUAUCUGCAUGUGUGAGAAAACUGUUGCCAGAAGAAGCACUUAGGUCUAAGAGAGUAAGAGCAAAUAAUGAAGUGCAGGCAGCAGAAAGAGGAAGUCACCCAAUCACUAAGAGCAAUAAAUGAAUUCUGCUUAAUAGUCCAUUUGCAGUCUGGACUGACACUGGGAAAAGUGAGCACUGAAAAGCACAAACUUGGACAAAUUGGAGGAGGACAUUUUCUUUGAGAAGAAAAAAGGUAAGAAUUGGAACAAACAUUCUGAGGAAGUGCCAUUUAAUUAAUAAAUGAAGGACAAUCGAAGAAACAUGAAAUGAGAAAAGCUAUGCAGGUAUGGAACUGGGUAUCAGCCUGGAGUCAUGUUCACAACUGAGAAAACUGUUAGGUUGCAAAGGAGAAAAUAAAUCUUUUCAUUGAUCCCCAGAAAAUACUUGGAGGGAAGAGCCAGGUUGGUUCAAGAAAAGAAUGACUGAUAUGGAAAUGGAGCAGUGACCACAAAACAUACAUAAAAACAUACAUCAAAAUGAGUAAAAAAAAAGAAAUUAGACAGCAUUUGCAAUGCAUAGCUGUCCCUAGGGAGUAUCAGAUGAGAUUUGCGACUUUUGUAGCAGACCAAGAUAGCCCUGGUAAGGAGAUGAAUACCUGAAUGGAUUUAGCUUGAACAUGAAUCCACUGACAGCAAGAAGCUACAGAAUCCCUGAGACAGUAUCUGGAGAUGUCAAAAUAAAGUAUUACUGUUUGCUGAGUACCAGUAUGUCGUAGUUCAAAAGUGCAAAGUCUUCCUGUAUAUCUUUGUUUCUAAUACAGAGCAUUAAGGAGAAUUAUGGUUCUGUCUGAAAGGUUUCCUUGGCUUGUCACUCAACUGUAGCACAUGGUAGAUGUCUGCAAAGCCAUCGUCUCUUUCAGCAAAGCUUGUGAAGAGUCUGGAGAGCAAGUCAUAUGAGGAGUGUCUGAGGGAGCUGGAGGUGUUUAGCCAGGAGAAAAGGAGUCUCAGGAGUGACCUCAUUGCUCUCUACAACUACCUGAAAGGAGGCUGUAGCCAGGUCAGGGUCAGGCUCUUCUCACAAGCAGCCAGCACAAGAGGAAAUGGCCUCAAGUUGUGCCAGAGCAGGUUCGGGCUGGACAACAGGAAGAAUUUCUUCACAGAAAGGGUUGUCAAGCAUGGGAAGAGUCUGCCUGGAGGAAUAGUGGAGUCACUGUCCCUGGAGGUACGUGGCCCUUUAGGACAUAAUUUAGUGGUGGUCGGUUGGAUUCAAAGAUCCAAGAGGUCUUUUCCCACCUAAACAAUUCCAUGAUUCUGAGCCAGUGUCAUGGCUCUCCAUGUGUGGUAUGGAAGAGCCUGAAAAUCAGCCAGCUGCAGGGUGGGUAGGACACCAUGCAGAGAGCAGGGAGCAGCCUGCCUUUGGCACAGUCAAGUGCACAUACACUGCUAGAGAAUAAUGUUCAGCUCACUAGAGGCCUGGGAAAAGCAGAUUGCCCAGGGGCUGGGAGAAUUCACACUGCCUUUCAGUAGAUGAGCUGAUGGCUGUAAAUAAGCAUUUUAUUUUUAUUACGGUAAAUAAAUGCUCUGGGCAGUUCUUAAGGCUUUGGGACUCUCAUUACUGUCUUCUCUCAGAUAAAUUUCUUCAAACAAUGUUAUACACAAUACUUAUGAAAGUGUGUAUGAAAGUGAGAAUUCUAAAUAACAAACCUGAAUAAUUGUCACCAAAAGCAUAUGCAUGCUGGGACACAGCCUACUGUGGUUUCUUAGCAUUCUGACAUAUACCUUUGAAGACCGUGAAUGCAUAGUCUUGAAGUACUGAAAAAUUAAAACAGAUGUUAUGGGGAAAGUUGAAAGUCAAUAGGCAACCUCAAUAUAUGAUAGAUACGGAAAAAAACACUUCUAGUAAUUGGUGUAUGCUUAAAUAUUAUUAUUGAACAGGAUGACAAUUUACUGAGAGAAAAUUAUUGUGUCAGAAGUAAACAAAUAAUAAGAUUGUGCAGAGAGAAAGAUGUUGGACAUUGGUAAUAUGGAUAUAGGCGAGGCACUUUGAAGAUUUUCCCAUGGCAGACUCAAUCAGUGAAUUUGAAUGCUGUCCUCAUCCUAAUACGCCUUUCUGGCUCCUAUGGCAGAAUUUUUCAAGAAGGAAAUAUACUCAUAGGUAUAGCUUUGAUUUAGCUAGAAUAAUUUUAAAACUCAUUAAACCAUUAAACAAUAUCAGUACCUGGAUAUAUAAGAGUAACAUGUUAGCUAUUAUAGUGAGAGAAACAAACUCACCUGAAUUCACACAUCCAGAGAGUACUAAAUGCACCUUAAGUAUUUUUGUGUGCAU